GGAAGCAAUUCAAUGGUAUGAAAAAUUUACUUGAUCUGAAAGGAUUUGCUUGGGAUGAACUGAGACAGAUGAUAAUUGCUGAUGAUGAUCUCUGGAAUUCUUAUUUGAAGCCCUGGUCAUACUGCAAUAGAACUCUCCCAAAUUAUAAUGACUUGUUCUUGAUAUUUGGAGGUACAAACAAUAAUGCAAGACUCGACCAUUCAUGUCACUUAAUGGCUGCUGAUGACUAUGUUCUGGGACUAAAUUUUUGCGAGGAUGAUGGCCUAUCCCCUGUUGAUUUUGACCACCCUUCACAAGUAAAUUGGACAAAGACAAUGGAAGUCUAUUUCNNNNNNNNCUUCUGUUAGAGUGGGUGCUUAAGGGAAAUAAGAUUGGUCAGACAUUCAACGAGCAUGCAUGGUCCUGGAUAAUUGCCUUAUUUAAUGAAAAGUUUGGCCUCC
This 440-nucleotide unclassified non-coding RNA is filed under the name Hevea brasiliensis (rubber tree). The record is from RNAcentral. Lineage: Eukaryota; Viridiplantae; Streptophyta; Magnoliopsida; Malpighiales; Euphorbiaceae.